Non-coding RNA from Hymenopellis radicata, 92 nucleotides. Lineage: Eukaryota; Fungi; Basidiomycota; Agaricomycetes; Agaricales; Physalacriaceae. The record is from the annotation of a GenBank genome assembly.
GCCCGUGUAGCUCAGUGGUAGAGCAUUGUACUUAUGAGGUUAUCCUAUCCCAGCUAAUGCAAGGGUCUCCAGUUCAAUCCUGGGCAUGGGCA